CUCUACUAUUAUCUAGUAUUACUAUAUUUUUCCAUUAACAUAAAAAAGCAUAUUCUUUCUCAUUUUUAUUGAAUAAAUAAAAAGCAAAAUUUUCAUUUUUAUCUAGAAUUUAAAUUGUAAAAAAAAAAAAAACUUCAUAAAAGAUUAGGAAAAGUAAAAGUAUAUGAUAUAGAAACCUAUAAUAUAAAUGAAUACAAAUAAAAACAAACAAAUCGAACCAAAUUAUAAAAAGUACUUGUUAUUUUUAAAGUUUAAAGAAACUAUGUAAGGCAAAUAGUACUAAAUAAAAAAAGGAGCAAUAACGCCCUCUUGUUUUAUCAAGAGGGAAGCUAUUGCUCCUUUUUUAGUUCAAAAACUCCUAUACAAUCAGACCAAAGUC
Molecule: unclassified non-coding RNA, 379 nt
Filed under: Helianthus praecox subsp. praecox
Lineage: Eukaryota; Viridiplantae; Streptophyta; Magnoliopsida; Asterales; Asteraceae
Description: partial trnH-psbA intergenic spacer
Source: RNAcentral